This 278-nucleotide long non-coding RNA is filed under the name Ananas comosus (pineapple). RNAcentral describes it as "long non-coding RNA (ACOM_LNC022517)". The record is from RNAcentral. Lineage: Eukaryota; Viridiplantae; Streptophyta; Magnoliopsida; Poales; Bromeliaceae.
UAUCUAAUGUGUUUCAUAUUACUAUUUUUUUUUUGAGAGAUAGGUAGCACGCUACCCGCUUCGUUUACUUCAUUUAGAAAUAAACUUAGCUGGAAAUGUGAAUCAACUAAGAUUCGAACUUGGGCCUCGGGUACCAACCACCAAGUCCUUUGCCACUAGCUUUAGGGACGAUCGGUAAUGUGUUUCAUAUUACUGUAACAAAGAUGUUUAGGAUGAGUAUUAAGUGAGAGUAAACUUGAACAAGGUUUAUCAAGAAGUCAUCAUAUAUAUAUUUGUUU